GUAUUACAAACAAAAAAAUAAAAAUUUUCUUUUCCACAUUACUUUUCACAGCAAAAUACUCGACGCUCGACCAUUGAGUUAUCAAUACAACGAUGAAUAUAAUGAUAGUUCAGUAUAUGUACAACCUCGUGAGCAAAGUGGACUGAAAAUGCUACUUGAUUCUCAAAACCAUGUGAGAGACUCUUUAUUUAAAAAAACAAUAUACGUGGGAAUGCUGGUGAUUUACAAUCCAGUAAAAGAAAGUUCAUUUAGAAUGCCAAAGUGUCUAGCUUGUCUUUGAUUGGCAAAUGGACUGCUCCAACUUCCAAGGAUUCACUUUCAGUUUCUGCCUGAAUUUGCCUGCCAUAUGUAAAGGGCAAGAACAUGCAGCAAUUGAAAUUAACACCUGGAAAUAUGUAUGUGCAGAAUUCUUCAAGAACCUUUGUCCUUGUGUUGUAAGAAACCAAAAAUCCUGGAAGCUGCAAAUACAUCGUCUCAGAAUCUUCACUGAAGGACAAAGGAGAUGCAUCAUAGGGCUCCAUGUGCCACUGGCCGCGAUGGGAGUAGAUUUCUUGAUGCUUAAAACUCAGGUCUUGAUGAUUGACACUGUCAGCUAGUGCCCACCUGAAUUUUUUGCGAUCGUAGAUAUUGUAUAAUGAGUAAUAGUCAUGAUCUUGUUCAUUGAGAAGAAUCCAGGAGUGAACUCCUUCAAAAUCAGUGUAAGUAUAGUGAACUCGCCCUUGAAACUCUGAUAAGCAUCGCUUGUAAGUCAUAGUUGAUUGCCAGGACCAGUCUUCCAAGAAAUUUGGCAGUUCAAUUAGGUCACAAAAAUCAUCUUCAACCUGAUACACCAGCAAGUAUCCACUUAUUUCCCAGUGAAUGGCUCCAUUAGAGAAGAGAGGAGGUGUCUGGAGUUCCGAAAACUCGAAAUCUGGUACAGGAAUAGGCAAGAACAGAUUUUUGGGAUGGAAUCUUCUCCAUUUUUCAGUUUGAGAUGAGUAAAUCUCCAUUUCAAGACCAUCAAAAGCCACUUCUAUAUCAGACAAAUGUACAAGGACAACUUGAUAGUGAAGCCCAUCAAUGGCUAAGCCACACCUGAUAAUGCCCCUCGUAAUGGCAGGUUGGGGCAGAGUAAAAACCUGCCGGGACAUGGGAUUAAACACAUGGUAUUUGAGCUCAAGCUCUCCAAUACUAGCUAACAGAAGAAAGCCCUUGCAUGAAGAAAUAACUUGCACAUAAUUUUCCGUGCAGAAACUGAGGGAACGAUCGAUGUCGACAGCUCCACUUUUAUCACCAAUAUGCAGAAAAAUAAACUGGGAUGAUCCAUCUUCAAACUGGUAUUGACAAAGAAGACCAUUUCUGGCAGUGUUGGACUCACCUGCAGCCAUCCUGAUCCUCCUGGAACUGUUUUGAUCCAUCCUUUCUCUCUUUUGGGUACAGAGGAACCUUCUUAAAACCUCGCUCAGGAUAAUGAUCAGAUUCCUGUGAAAUGGUUUCUCGAUAAAAAGAAAAGGAG
Molecule: unclassified non-coding RNA, 1495 nt
Filed under: Hevea brasiliensis (rubber tree)
Lineage: Eukaryota; Viridiplantae; Streptophyta; Magnoliopsida; Malpighiales; Euphorbiaceae
Source: RNAcentral